Long non-coding RNA from Oncorhynchus keta (chum salmon), 877 nucleotides. RefSeq lists it as uncharacterized. The transcript has 4 exons. The record is from RefSeq and is a predicted model, not a curated record. Lineage: Eukaryota; Metazoa; Chordata; Actinopteri; Salmoniformes; Salmonidae.
UGCUGGUCCAUGUUGACUCUACAAGGUGUCGAAAGCGUUCCACAGGGAUGCUGGCCCAUGUUGACUCUACAAGGUGUCUAAAGCGUUCCACAGGGAUGCUGGCCCAUGUUGACUCUACAAGGUGUCUAAAGCGUUCCACAGGGAUGCUGGCCCAUGUUGACUCUACAAGGUGUUGAAAGCGUUCCACAGGGAUGCUGGCCCAUGUUGACUCUACAAGGUGUUGAAAGCGUUCCACAGGGAUGCUGGCCCCAUGUUGACUCUACAAGGUGUUGAAAGCGUUCCACAGGGAUGCUGGUCCAUGUUGACUCUACAAGGUGUCUAAAGCGUUCCACAGGGAUGCUGGUCCAUGUUGACUCUACAAGGUGUCUAAAGCGUUCCACAGGGAUGCUGGCCCCAUGUUGACUCUACAAGGUGUUGAAAGCGUUCCACAGGGAUGCUGGUCCAUGUUGACUCUACAAGGUGUCUAAAGCGUUCCACAGGGAUGCUGGUCCAUGUUGACUCUACAAGGUGUUGAAAGCGUUCCACAGGGAUGCUGGCCCAUGUUGACUCUACAAGGUGUCGAAAGCGUUCCACAGGGAUGCUGGCCCAUGUUGACUCUACAAGGUGUUGAAAGCGUUCCACAGGGAUGCUGGCCCAUGUUGACUCUACAAGGUGUUGAAAGCGUUCCACAGGGAUGCUGGCCCAUGUUGACUCUACAAGGUGUUGAAAGCGUUCCACAGGGAUGCUGGCCCAUGUUGACUCUACAAGGUGUUGAAAGCGUCCUACAGGGAUGCUGGCCCAUGGUGACUCCACAAGGUGUUGAAAGCGUUCCACAGGGAUGCUGGCCCAUGUUGACUCUACAAGGUGUCGAAAGCGUUCCACAGGGAUGCUGGCCCAU